This is a non-coding RNA of Schizosaccharomyces pombe (fission yeast), 1796 nucleotides long. Lineage: Eukaryota; Fungi; Ascomycota; Schizosaccharomycetes; Schizosaccharomycetales; Schizosaccharomycetaceae. The record is from the annotation of a GenBank genome assembly.
UUCAAUGUAUCGAUGUUUACACCAGUAGGAUAAGAAGGAAGGAUUUUAGUCAUUAAAUCUUUAGGAGAUGCAAAACCAACCCAAGGAUUGGAUAACCAUUCCCUAUGGUCAGACUUGUAGUUUUUGCUGCUCUCGAAAGAGCUCUCGAGAAUGUCCCAGACUCUCUUCUCUUGUGCGUCAACUUCUGCUUUUGAAACCGUCUUUUCUUGUAAAAGUUGUUGUGUGUAUAUUUUAAACGUAGGGGGAUGCUUGGCAAUAGCCUUAUACAUUCUUGGUUGCGUGAAAGAAGGCUGAUCGGUUUCAUUGUGACCAUGUCGACGGUAACAAACAAUAUCAACAACAACAUCCGUUUUGAAAGCUUUACGCCAAUCUGCUGCAAGUUGGCAGAUGAAAGUGACGGCCUCUACAUCAUCUCCAUUGACAUGGAAAAUAGGAGCCUCCAUAGACUUGGCAAUGUCCGUACAGUAGGGGGUAGAGCGAGCAAAACGAGGAUCAGUAGUAAAUCCAAUUUGAUUAUUAAUGACAAUGUGAACAGUACCACCAGUGCUGUAGCCAGGUAAAGCAUGUAAACCAAAUGUUUCAUAUACAACACCCUGAGCAGCAAAAGCCGCAUCACCAUGAAUCAAAAUACCCAUAGACUGUUCGUGACUAGCCUCAUCACUAGUAUAAUGUUGGAUAGCACGAACUUUACCAAGUACCACAGGAUCCUCGGCUUCCAAAUGUGAAGGAUUAGCUACAAGAGACAGGCUAACACGUUUACCAGAUGGUGUGGGACGUUGAUAAUUCAUACCUAGAUGGUACUUUACGUCACCAGAUCCCUCAUCGUCAGGAUCCUGGGUACCACGAAAUUCUGAGAAGAUAGCUUGAGCAGGCUUACGAACAAUAUUGUGAAGAAGAUUCAGACGACCUCGAUGAGCCAUGCCAAUAACAAUGUUACUAAUACCCUCAUCAACAGAACGAUCAAUAAGCGCUUUCAUACCGGGAACCAUGGCUUCACACCCUUCGAGGCCAAAGCGCUUAUCGUUAGGAAACUUGGUGAACAGGAAACGUUCAAAACUAUCAGCCCAACUCAGACGAUCAAAAAUCAUAAUUUUUUGAUCAUGAGAGUAUCUGAAAGGAGUGGGAGUCUCUAAGUGAGACAGUAUCCAAUUGGAGCGCUUACGUGAGGAAAUAUGAGUGAACUCAACGGCAAAGCUUCCGCAAUAAAUUUUUUCGCAAGUUUCCACAAUCUCACGUAAAGUCAUGGUUUUCCGGCCAGCUUCACGAAAGUUAGGCAAAAUACCAGGACCCAGAUGAAUUGUGCGAUUAAGGUCAGAUUCCGUAAAACCAUAAUGUUCAAGUGUUAAUUCGGAAGGACGGUUGUGGUUAACGUUGAUGCCAAGCGGAUCGAGCUUGGCCAAAUGAUGACCACGGGAUUGAUAGGCACGAACCAAGAGCUGAACUUUCAUGUAAAUACCAACAUCGAUAUCAGCAUAGUUAUUACCAUUAAUGAGAGAAGAGUCCAAAGCAGUAUAAGAAUCAGCAUAGUCCAGCAAAGGUGGAGCCUGAAAAGCUUUGGAAGGGGAAACUCCACGUUCCUGAACGUUUUUGAAAUAUGCUUGCCAAGAUGCAUGUACACUGUUAGGAUCUUUUUUCCAUGCAUCAUACAUUUCAUCUACGUAAUCGGCGGCGCCUCCAGUCAAAAAAUCAUCAGUAGGUUGAGUAGCAAAGGUACGAUUUUGUUGAAGAGAAGAAAGACACGUCAAUCUGUUGAGACGGUAGGCAGUUACGGCGCUACGACGUAAAGCCCUUGCUUU